Molecule: ribosomal RNA, 659 nt
Filed under: uncultured fungus
Lineage: Eukaryota; Fungi
Description: eukaryotic LSU rRNA
Rfam family: Eukaryotic large subunit ribosomal RNA
Source: RNAcentral
CCCGCUGAACUUAAGCAUAUCAAUAAGCGGAGGAAAAGAAACUAACAAGGAUUCCCUUAGUAACUGCGAGUGAAGAGGGAAAAGCUCAAAUUUAAAAUCUGGCAGUGUUUCAUUGUCCGAGUUGUAACCUAGAGAAGUGUAACCUGUGCUGGACCGUGUACAAGUCUCCUGGAAUGGAGCAUCACAGAGGGUGAGAAUCCCGUCUUUGACACGGACUACCAGUGCAUUGUGGUUGUGCUCUCAGCGAGUCGAGUUGUUUGGGAAUGCAGCUCUAAAUGGGUGGUAAAUUCCAUCUAAAGCUAAAUAUUGGCGAGAGACCGAUAGCGAACAAGUACCGUGAGGGAAAGAUGAAAAGAACUUUGGAAAGAGAGUUAAACAGUAUGUGAAAUUGUUGAAAGGGAAACGUUUGAAGUCAGUCGUGUUGGCUGGGGAUCAACCUGACUUAUUGUUAGGUGUAUUUCCUGGUUGACGGGCCAACAUCAGUUUUGACUGCCAGAAAAAGGCCAAGGGAAUGUGGCACCUUUGGGUGUGUUAUAGCUUUUGGUCGUAUGUGGUGGUUGGGACUGAGGACAGCAGUGCGCCGCAAUGGCAGGGUUUCGACCACAUUCGCACUGAGGAUGUUGGCAUAAUGGCUUUAAGCGACCCGUCUUGAAACACGG